RNAcentral lists this ribosomal RNA (292 nucleotides) under uncultured prokaryote. RNAcentral's name for it is "partial 16S ribosomal RNA". It matches the Rfam family "Bacterial small subunit ribosomal RNA", at positions 505 to 796 of the family's 1533-position model. The record is from RNAcentral.
GUCCCAGCAGCCGCGGAAAUACGUAGGUGGCAAGCGUUAUCCGGAAUUAUUGGGCGUAAAGCGGGCGUAGGCGGAAUUUUAAGUCUGAUGUGAAAGCCCACGGCUCAACCGUGGAGGGUCAUUGGAAACUGGAAAACUUGAGUGCAGAAGAGGAAAGUGGAAUUCCAUGUGUAGCGGUGAAAUGCGCAGAGAUAUGGAGGUUGACCAGUGGCGAAGGCGACUUUCUGGUCUGUAACUGACGCUGAUGUGCGAAAGCGUGGGGAUCAAACAGGAUUAGAUACCCUCGUAGUCC